RNAcentral lists this transfer RNA (77 nucleotides) under Leptolyngbya sp. Cla-17. RNAcentral's name for it is "tRNA-Leu". It matches the Rfam family "tRNA". From Rfam's summary of the family: Transfer RNA (tRNA) molecules are approximately 80 nucleotides in length. Their secondary structure includes four short double-helical elements and three loops (D, anti-codon, and T loops). The record is from RNAcentral. Lineage: Bacteria; Bacillati; Cyanobacteriota; Cyanophyceae; Leptolyngbyales; Leptolyngbyaceae.
ACUCCUGUAGCCCAAUCGGAAGAGGCGGCUGUCUCAAAAACAGUCACGUGUGGGUUCGAUUCCCACCAGGAGUACCA